RNAcentral lists this ribosomal RNA (352 nucleotides) under Pseudo-nitzschia fraudulenta. Its description in RNAcentral is "partial Bacterial large subunit ribosomal RNA". It matches the Rfam family "Bacterial large subunit ribosomal RNA", at positions 662 to 1010 of the family's 2925-position model. The record is from RNAcentral. Lineage: Eukaryota; Bacillariophyta; Bacillariophyceae; Bacillariales; Bacillariaceae.
GUAGGCGUAGCGAAAGCGAGUCUGAAUAGGGCGAAUGAGUACGUAGCAUUAGACCCGAAGGCAGAUGAUCUAUGCAUGAGCAGGCUGAAGGUGGGGUAACACCCACUGGAGGGCCGAACCGUUGUAUGUUGAAAAAUACUCGGAUGACUUGUGCCUAGGGGUGAAAGGCCAAUCAAAUCUGCUGAUAGCUGGUUCUCCGCGAAAUCUAUUUAGGUAGAGCGUCACGAUUAAGACUCCUGGGGGUAGAGCACUGGAUGGACUAGGGGGCCUCACCGGCUUACCAAAUCUUACCAAACUCCGAAUACCAGGAAGUUAUGCGUGGCAGACACACGGCGGGUGCUAACGUCCGUCG